GACGAACGCUGGCGGCGUGCUUAACACAUGCAAGUCGAACGGAAAGGCGCCUUUGGGGGUUCUCGAGUGGCGGACGGGUGCGGAACACGAAAGUAACCUGCACCUGACUUUGGGAUAAGUUCAGGAUAGUGGGGCUAAUACCGGUUAGGGAUACUUGUUUCAUCGUGGGGGUUGGAAAGCUUCGGAGGGUUUUGAUGUGAUUGCGGGUUAUCUGCUUGCUGGAGUGGUAGUGGCUUACCGAAGCGUCGGCGGGUAGCCGGCCUGAGAGGGCGACCGGCGACAUAGGGACUGAGAGACGGCCCAGAUACGUACGGGUGGCAGAUGGGGGGAAUAUUGAACAAUGGGCGGAAGCCUGAUGCAGCAGGGCCGCGUGCGGGAUGACGGUCUUCGGGUUGUAAACCGCAUUCAGCAGGGGCGAAGCUUGUGGUGACGGUACCUGCAGAAGAAGCACCGGCUAACUACGUG
This 465-nucleotide ribosomal RNA is filed under the name uncultured bacterium. RNAcentral's name for it is "partial 16S ribosomal RNA". It matches the Rfam family "Bacterial small subunit ribosomal RNA", at positions 28 to 507 of the family's 1533-position model. The record is from RNAcentral.